Molecule: ribosomal RNA, 443 nt
Filed under: uncultured bacterium
Lineage: Bacteria
Description: bacterial SSU rRNA
Rfam family: Bacterial small subunit ribosomal RNA
Source: RNAcentral
AACGCGAAGAACCUUACCAGCCCUUGACAUGGGAACUAUGGCCCUUAGAGAUAGGGGCCUUCACUUCGGGUGGGUUCCGCACAGGUGCUGCAUGGCUGUCGUCAGCUCGUGUCGUGAGAUGUUGGGUUAAGUCCCGCAACGAGCGCAACCCUCAUUUUCAGUUGCCAGCAUUCAGUUGGGCACUCUGAAGAAACUGCCGGUGACAAGCCGGAGGAAGGUGGGGAUGACGUCAAGUCCUCAUGGCCCUUACGGGCUGGGCUACACACGUGCUACAAUGGCGGUGACAAAGAGUCGCGACCUCGCAAGGGGUAGCUAAUCUCAAAAAGCCGCCUCAGUUCAGAUUGCGCUCUGCAACUCGAGCGCAUGAAGUCGGAAUCGCUAGUAAUCGUGGGUCAGCAUACCACGGUGAAUACGUUCCCGGGCCUUGUACACACCGCUACAGU